CCUACGGGAGGCAGCAGUGAGGAAUAUUGGUCAAUGGGCGAGAGCCUGAACCAGCCAAGUCGCGUGAAGGAUGACGGCCCUACGGGUUGUAAACUUCUUUUGUCAGGGAGCAAUUGGGUCCACGCGUGGGCUUAGCGAGAGUACCUGAAGAAAAAGCAUCGGCUAACUCCGUGCCAGCAGCCGCGGUAAUACGGAGGAUGCGAGCGUUAUCCGGAUUUAUUGGGUUUAAAGGGUGCGUAGGCGGAAUAUCAAGUCAGCGGUAAAAAUUCGGGGCUCAACCCCGUCGUGCCGUUGAAACUGAUGUUCUUGAGUGGGCGAGAAGUAUGCGGAAUGCGUGGUGUAGCGGUGAAAUGCAUAGAUAUCACGCAGAACUCCGAUUGCGAAGGCAGCAUACCGGCGCCCUACUGACGCUGAGGCACGAAAGUGCGGGGAUCGAACAGGAUUAGAUACCCUAGUAGUC
This 460-nucleotide ribosomal RNA is filed under the name uncultured bacterium. RNAcentral's name for it is "partial 16S ribosomal RNA". It matches the Rfam family "Bacterial small subunit ribosomal RNA", at positions 338 to 795 of the family's 1533-position model. The record is from RNAcentral.